CCCUUAGAUGUUCUGGGUCGCACGCGCGCUACACUGAUGCAUUCAACGAGCCUAUCCUUGACCGACAGGUCCGGGUAAUCUUUGAAUCUGCAUCGUGACGGGGAUAGAUUAUUGCAAUUAUUAAUCUUCCACGAGGAAUGCCUAGUAGGCGCAAGUCAUCAGCUUGCGUCGAUUACGUCCCUGCCCUUUGUACACACCGCCCGUCGCUCCUACCGAUUGGGUGUGCUGGUGAAAUGUUCGGAUCGGCCGUUUGUCGCGGUUUCCGCGUCAUGUGGCUGAGAAGUUCAUUAAACCCUCCCACCUAGAGGAAGGAGAAGUCGUAACA
This 325-nucleotide ribosomal RNA is filed under the name uncultured eukaryote. RNAcentral's name for it is "partial 18S ribosomal RNA". It matches the Rfam family "Eukaryotic small subunit ribosomal RNA", at positions 1470 to 1796 of the family's 1831-position model. The record is from RNAcentral.